CCUACGGGUGGCAGCAGUCGAGAAUCAUUCACAAUGGGGGAAACCCUGAUGGUGCGACGCCGCGUGGGGGAAUGCAGGUCUUCGGAUUGUAAACCCCUGUCAUGUGGGAGCAAAUUAAAAAGAUAGUACCACAAGAGGAAGAGACGGCUAACUCUGUGCCAGCAGCCGCGGUAAUACAGAGGUCUGAAGUGUUGUUCGGAAUCACUGGGCGUAAAGCGUGCGUAGGCUGUUUCGUAAGUCGUGUGUGAAAGGCGCGGGCUCAACCCGCGGACGGCACAUGAUACUGCGAGACGAGAGUGAUGGAGGGGGAACCGGAAUUCUCGGUGUAGCAGUGAAAUGCGUAGAUAUCGAGAGGAACACUCGUGGCGAAGGCGGGUUCCUGGACAUUAACUGACGCUGAGGCACGAAGGCCAGGGGAGCGAAAGGGAUUAGAUACCCGUGUAGUC
Molecule: ribosomal RNA, 446 nt
Filed under: uncultured bacterium
Lineage: Bacteria
Description: partial 16S ribosomal RNA
Rfam family: Bacterial small subunit ribosomal RNA
Source: RNAcentral